This 207-nucleotide ribosomal RNA is filed under the name uncultured bacterium. Its description in RNAcentral is "partial 16S ribosomal RNA". It matches the Rfam family "Bacterial small subunit ribosomal RNA", at positions 568 to 774 of the family's 1533-position model. The record is from RNAcentral.
CGUGUAGGCGGCCAGGUAGGUCGGUUGUGAAAACUGGAGGCUCAACCUUCAGAGGUCGACCGAAACCAUCUGGCUAGAGUCCGGGAGAGGAGAGUGGAAUUCCUGGUGUAGCGGUGAAAUGCGCAGAUAUCAGGAAGAACACCCGUGGCGAAAGCGGCUCUCUGGAACGGUACUGACGCUGAGACGCGAAAGCGUGGGGAGCGAACA